Molecule: ribosomal RNA, 1483 nt
Filed under: uncultured bacterium
Lineage: Bacteria
Description: 16S ribosomal RNA
Rfam family: Bacterial small subunit ribosomal RNA
Source: RNAcentral
UGGCUCAGCAUUACGCUAGCGACAGGCCUAACACAUGCAAGUCGAGGGGCAUCGGGGCGAGGAGCAAUCCUUGCCGCCGGCGACCGGCGCACGGGUGAGUAACGCGUAUGCGACCUGCCCGUUGCAGGGGGAUAAUCGGGAGAAAUCCCGUCUAAUACCGCGUAACGCCGCGGGGCUGCGUGGCCCUGCGGCCAAAGGGAGCGAUUCCGGCAACGGAUGGGCAUGCGUGACAUUAGCUAGUUGGCGGGGCAACGGCCCACCAAGGCGACGAUGUCUAGGGGUUCUGAGAGGAAGGUCCCCCACACUGGUGCUGAGACACGGACCAGACUCCUACGGGAGGCAGCAGUGAGGAAUAUUGGUCAAUGGGCGCGAGCCUGAACCAGCCAAGUCGCGUGAGGGAUGACGGCCCUACGGGUUGCAAACCUCUUUUGUCGGGGAGCAAAUUCCGCCACGUGUGGCGGAGUCGAGAGUACCCGAAGAAAAAGCAUCGGCUAACUCCGUGCCAGCAGCCGCGGUAAUACGGAGGAUGCGAGCGUUAUCCGGAUUUAUUGGGUUUAAAGGGUGCGUAGGCGGACUGUCAAGUCAGCGGUAAAAUACGGGGGCUCAACCUCCGCCCGCCGUUGAAACUGACGGUCUUGAGUGGGCGAGAAGUAUGCGGAAUGCGUGGUGUAGCGGUGAAAUGCAUAGAUAUCACGCAGAACUCCGAUUGCGAAGGCAGCAUACCGGCGCCCAACUGACGCUGAAGCACGAAAGCGUGGGUAUCGAACAGGAUUAGAUACCCUGGUAGUCCACGCAGUAAACGAUGAAUACUAGCUGUCCGGGGCGAAUGAGCCCUGGGUGGCACAGCGAAAGCGUUAAGUAUUCCACCUGGGGAGUACGCCGGCAACGGUGAAACUCAAAGGAAUUGACGGGGGCCCGCACAAGCGGAGGAACAUGUGGUUUAAUUCGAUGAUACGCGAGGAACCUUACCCGGGCUCAAACGACACAGGAACGUACCUGAAAGGGUUCGGCUCUACGGAGCCUGUGUCGAGGUGCUGCAUGGUUGUCGUCAGCUCGUGCCGUGAGGUGUCGGCUUAAGUGCCAUAACGAGCGCAACCCCCAUCGACAGUUGCUAACAGGUUAGGCUGAGGACUCUGUCGAGACUGCCGGCGCAAGCUGCGAGGAAGGCGGGGAUGACGUCAAAUCAGCACGGCCCUUACGUCCGGGGCGACACACGUGUUACAAUGGCAGGUACAGCGGGAAGCCACCUGGCGACAGGGAGCGGAACCCGAAAGCCUGUCUCAGUUCGGAUUGGAGUCUGCCACCCGACUCCAUGAAGCUGGAUUCGCUAGUAAUCGCGCAUCAGCCACGGCGCGGUGAAUACGUUCCCGGGCCUUGUACACACCGCCCGUCAAGCCAUGGAAGCCGGGGGUGCCUGAAGUGCGCUGCCGCGAGGAGCGCCCUAGGGUAAAACCGGUGACUGGGGCUAAGUCGUAACAAGGUA